CAAUAGCGUAUAUUAAAGUUGUUGCAGUUAAAAAGCUCGUAGUUGGAUUUCGGGACGGGCCAGUUGGUCCGCCGCAAGGUGUGUUACUGACUGGUCUGUUCUUCUUCGCAAAGACUGCGUGUGCUCUUCGUUGAGUGUGCGUAGGAUUUACGACGUUUACUUUGAAAAAAUUAGAGUGUUCAAAGCAGGCUGUCGCUUGAAUACAUGAGCAUGGAAUAAUGGAAUAGGACUUUGGUCCUAUUUUGUUGGUUUCUAGGACCGAAGUAAUGAUUAAGAGGGACAAUUGGGGGCAUCCGUAUUUCGUUGUCAGAGGUGAAAUUCUUGGAUUUACGAAAGACGAACAACUGCGAAAGCACUUGCCAAGAGUGUUUUCAUUAA
This 378-nucleotide ribosomal RNA is filed under the name uncultured eukaryote. RNAcentral's name for it is "partial 18S ribosomal RNA". It matches the Rfam family "Eukaryotic small subunit ribosomal RNA", at positions 592 to 976 of the family's 1831-position model. The record is from RNAcentral.